AUUGUAAUUAAUUUUGCUCAGGAGUGCGAAACAAAAUUCAGGGAUGAACCAAUGCUUCUGUUUGGCUUUAGUGCAUGAUUGGGAAAAUGAAAGGCUUAUAGGUUUUGCACAACAUAGCUAAGAAAUAAGUAUACCCACUGUAAAAGAAGACUAUUCUGGUUGCUGGUUUAUGGUAGAAAGAGAUUAGGAUAGAAAGACUAAAAUAUGGACACUAGGGAAAUUGUUUAAAUGAUAGUCUAUUUGAAUAAUACAGAAAUAUUUUGUCAUACUGAGAUUAUCUGUCCAAAAAUAUAGUCUUAUAUCCUUCCAUUCAGAAAAAGGGGCAGUUUUUAAAGGCCUCUAUCAUAAUAGGAAAUGUAUGUUUUGAUUAGUGGAACAAUUCAUUAAAACAUUUAAUCUGAUCAUUUUGGUUACAUGAAUCUGAAUUUUCACUUUAGCUGAAACUGAGUCUUAUAUGUAUGUGUUAGUAAUCUUCGUAAGAAGUAAUUUAACCAUUUUUUUAAAGUUGAUAAAAUUUGCUAAGUGGUGAUUCCAGCAUAUUGUGUUAAUAGUGUAUCUUACAAUUUGUGAACUGACCAUAUGAAAACAAACCAUAGUAGUAUCUCUUCUGGUAAAAUGUUUCCAUGGUGUGAUCUCUUAUACUGGGUUUGGGGUGGGGAGGUUACGUAUUUAGUUUAUGUAAAACUAACUGUUGAACUGUUUUUCCUAAAUGCCAUAAAAUUAUAUGAUUAUAAACCAAAUAGGAAUAGCCUAUUAAAGGCACUGUAUAGACUAUUUUUGAAGUUAUCCCAUAAAAUGACAUCGUUUCUGUUAAAAAGUUUCUACACAUACAAGGGAAAGCAAACAGUGUAUGUAUUAUUUCUGUGUAAUAUGCUAAAUGUUUUAGAAUCCAUUUUUCAAUCUUAUGCAGAUAGAAAGUGAUUUUGCAGAUAACAGAGUAACAAAUACAACUACAGCACUUCAGUUUUUUCACAGAGAUGUCUCAUACAUGUUUAUUAUCUCAUAGUUUGCAAAGAUCAUUCACAUAUCUUAUUUAACCUUUAAAAUAUCCUUAUACAGUAAUAAUACUAUCUGAAGUUUAGAGAUUAAACAACCAAGGCUUAGAAAGAUCCUGACUUGUCCAAGAUCAUAAGGGCAGCAAAUGAUUUUACAUUUCAUGUUCUUUACACUUUUCAAUCUCUGCCAAGUUUUUUCUUUCCUACCACUGCCAUGAUCUUUAAGACUUUAACUAAAAUUUAAUUCCAAAUGAUACACUGGGAAAUUUCACAAGGCACUGUUGCUGUUAUUGUCAGACCUUUCUAAAUGCUUCUAAAAUAGAGUCCUCCUACAGGGUGAUAGCCAAACAUUUUCCAUCUAAAACAUAUUUAAGUCCUCACACUCUGACUACAGACAUUAAAUCCAGAUGAUAUCAAAAUGCUGGACUGAAAAAUUAUCUUCUCCACUGGUCUCCUUUCUAAUUUCCUUUUUAAAAAGUCCAUCAUAAUGACUAACUUAUGAAUAGUUCAAAGAAACAAUAAUCAACCCAAGAAACUGCAGACAUUCUGAUUCAGAGAAAGCAUACUCUAAGACCCACCAUACUGUCCAUUUUUAAGCUUAAUGUUUUUCAUCAAAUGUGUUCUGUGAUUAGGGGAGGACAGGGAAUGGGGACUGAGUAGAAAAACUGCCUUUCUUUUAAGAAAACCUCAUUAUUUCCUGUAACUAUUCAAAAAGACUUGAUAUCAAGUAUUAGACAACAGGACUAUUAACAUUUAGCCAUAGUUCAAAUAUAUGGUAAAGUUGAUACACAUAUUUUAAAAUUUGCUGAAGUAAUUUCCUGGAUAAAAUUAAAAUCUGAUGACUUCUCAGUUUAAAUAUGGAGAACAUUCAUGUGUUAACCAAUGGCAUAAUGCUACAUUUUAAUUCUUUUUUCAAAUAACAGAGAGACACUGAAAUUGCUUUCCCUUGUAAAUCAACAGUCUGUGAUACAUUCUGUACUUUUACUGACUAGCAAUGAAGUGUUACUGUGAAUAAUUAAAUGAAAUAUAAACUAUAGCAUAUCAGAAUUUAACAUUUUGUAACCUUAAGUUUAGUUCUCCUCCUCAAACAGAUAAGUCAAACAAGUAUUAUUUUGUAUGGAAUGAAAUAAUAGUCAUUCUUAAACAAUGACAUAAUAAAUAAUGGAGUUCUGAUAAAAUAUAAGAUCAAAACACUUUAUAUUUUUCUACAUUUGUCUUCCUUUGACAUUGAGUUAUGUUAAUUUACCACAUAUUAUUGUAAAGUUAAAAUAAACUGUUAUGUCAUGUUCUGUAAUGUUCCUGACAUAGUAAUUUUGGGCCUUCUGUUAACUAAAUAACAGUAAAUACCUGUGAG
Molecule: long non-coding RNA, 2349 nt
Filed under: Bos taurus (domestic cattle)
Lineage: Eukaryota; Metazoa; Chordata; Mammalia; Artiodactyla; Bovidae
Description: long non-coding RNA NONBTAT030220
Source: RNAcentral